UGAUAAGAAGAGGACUUGAACCUCCGUCUUCGGGGCUACAACCCGCCGCCUAACUCUCGGCCAUCUUACC
RNAcentral lists this transfer RNA (70 nucleotides) under Alytes maurus. RNAcentral describes it as "tRNA-Tyr". The record is from RNAcentral. Lineage: Eukaryota; Metazoa; Chordata; Amphibia; Anura; Alytidae.